Osmerus eperlanus (European smelt) is the source of this 1001-nucleotide long non-coding RNA. RefSeq lists it as uncharacterized. The record is from RefSeq and is a predicted model, not a curated record. The transcript is spliced from 2 exons. NCBI's taxonomy places the organism in Eukaryota, Metazoa, Chordata, Actinopteri, Osmeriformes, Osmeridae.
UUUAAAAAAACAACAACUAGCCUAGCUUUCCAGCUAGCGAGUGUUUGCUAGCUAAGUUGCUAGCGCACACAAGAGGUGGGGGAUGGGCAGGAGGUAGCCGGCUAAAGUUACGUUUUUAACGAUCUCCCGUCUUCAUUAAUCUGCCCGAGCUAGCACUAAACUAAGUAUCGAUGUUUCAGUUCAUCCAGCCGUAACGACGCUUACGGUAUUUAAAAAAUGUACAUCACAUUUUAAACCGAUUUGCUGUUAGUCGAAGGUAAGGUUUUCUCCAAGAAAAAGCUAGCGCUAGCUUAGCCGACGUCGUUAGCCAACUUCUAGGACUAGAGCCAAGUGUUGCCUUCGUUACGAAACCUGGCACGGCUAGCCCGUCUUCAUCGUCAUUUCGACAUCAGCCUGUCUUGGAGACUCGUUUUCUAUACGUUUGAGCGAUAUUCCUGAUUUGGCAAAAUGGCUAGACUACCAAAAACGCAGUCAACAAGCUAGCUUUAGCUAACGUCGAAUAACCACGUCGAUCAAUGGCUUAUGGCCACAGAUUCAGAAGGCCGUCAAGUCAGUGGCCUUGGCUCAUAAAUGUAUCCCUGCAUCGCAAAAGGAAAGUGCGAAAGUAAAUUGAGUACUCAGAGUUGCGAUUGUAGUCUAUUUUAGCUACAGACGUUCUCAGCGUUAGCUAGGCUAGCUAACUAGCAAUCAACAACAGGAACACAAUCAUCGACGUUAAACAAGGCCAGUCGAGACCGGUUGUUCACGAGGUGUAGGCCCCGCUCUCCAGCCAGGACAGACUUCGUCUAGCUACUAGUAGCUUCUCAUAUUUGGUCAUCAAGCUGGUUGCUUCCGCUUAUUUGUAUAGCAGGACAAUUAUAAGUGCUUCAAAUAAUACAUAAAUGGCAUCAAUUCCAGACCUCUAAAAACGUAUUAAAUACCAUUUACAAAGCGUUACAUAAAAAAAUAAAAUAAGAACAGGAGUGUUGAACGAGAGCAGUGUAAGAAAUUAAACGGAAACC